RNAcentral lists this transfer RNA (58 nucleotides) under Diaphanoeca grandis. The record is from RNAcentral. Lineage: Eukaryota; Choanoflagellata; Acanthoecida; Stephanoecidae.
UACGAAGAAUGGCAUGCCAAGGCGACACAGAUUGAUAUCAAUGCUGGCGCACAAAAAU